CAGCGUUUAUAGAGCUCGGACCCUUUCGCUCUGACAGCUGCUCAGCCUUCUGUUCUCAGAGGCCCUGACACGGACUUGUCCCAUCCCCCCUACCAUGCCUGUGGAUCUCUCAUCCUGGCACUCAGGGUCCUUGUGCCCAGCUCGACCCGGUGCCCGCCAGCAGAAGCAAGAGCCACAGGACCAACACAGAAGUGCCGAGUUCAGGAGCAUGACUCUUGCGCGCGUGCGCACAAGCACUGGCCAGUGGCUAGGAUGCCGCGUUUCAGCUCGUCUGUCCCUGGGCCCCGAGGACAGUCUGGUGUGUCGGGCAGACAGCCGGGAGCCGGAGGGAAGGCAGCCUUGGAGGCGGCAGGAGGAGGACCAGGCUGCCUGCACCUCAAGUACGGUUCCUGUCAGCCGCAGCCACUAAUGACCCCAGCUUCUGUGAGGCCCGUCAGCACUCGCAGGAAUGAAAGGGGACCCCUGAGAUGUGCUCCGCCUAAGCAGACUGUGACCCCCCCCCCAGCCCCCCUCGCCUUCACUUCCUCAUCGAAGGCGGGGCUUCAGCCAGCAGAAGUACCUGGGGGAGGCACACUCCAAAAGACCCCCACAGCAGCCUUGCCCUUAUCCCGUCCAGCCCCAGCCUCAGCCUCCACCUUCCCAGCCCCGCCUUUGCCCCCCAAGUCCCGUGGGCACAGCCCGGCUCCACCCCUUCUCGGUGCGCACAUGGCUGUGUUUUGCAGAGUCAGUACUGGUGGCACCCACAGUCAAGUGCUCCUGAAAAGCCGUGGGGAGGGCACCCUUCCCCUAUCAUUAAAGUGUCAUUACACCCUUGUGGGGGGCUCUGAUCUGGUUUUUGGUCUUGUCCUCUUCUCCCAAACCAGCAGACCUGUGAACCCGACCCCUCUUCUCAGGGGCUUGUGGCCUUGAAUGAUUUUACUGAUUAUUGUAUGUCUCUGCAAAAGGCUUUCUAUGCUCAGCAUCUUUCUUCCUUUAGCAUGAGAAGGCGGACGAGUGUGAGACCCAUUUUCUAGCGACCGUGGGGGGCGGAUUGCACUCAGGUCCUGGUCUCAUGGUCCAUGGGUUCGAGCCUUGCAUCGGACUCCGGGCUGACAGUGCAGAGCCGGCUUGGGAUUCUCUCCUCUCUCGGCCCUUCCCCUACACGUGCACAAGCUCUCUCUCAAAAACAGAUGGAUAAACUUAAAAAAAAAAAAAAAAGAAGAAGAAGAAGAAGGUGACCCUGCGGAGGAAAUGACACACAGAGCCUGGCCUAGAUUUUCCAUCUCCCACUGACCGUCCCGCGGGCUUCCUUUCCCUCCACCUUCUCCCCACAAAGGGGAGGAAUCCUGGCGUGUUCAGCCCGUGAGCCUGGUGGAAACAAGAGGAUCUCUAUCUUGACCUGAGAUGCUCCAGACGUGACUCUGGCAUAGCCUAGCUUGCUGGGGUGGGGGUGGGGAAGGCAGAGUCGAAUGUUCGCAACCUGUAAGUCUCACCCCGAGUGCUUCAGAAUCACCCCGGGGAGAUUUUUUAAAAAUGCCACUUUCUGGGCCCACCUCUGAUGGUGCUGAUUCAUCCGGAUGGGGGUGUGGCCAGGCAUCAAGGUGUUUGGAGCUCUCAGGUGACUUCCGGCGCAGCCAGGGCAAGGGCUCUGAGCCUUGCAUUUUCCCCAGAUGACCUCAGAAGGCCCCUUCGAAGGAAAUACCUAACGUCAGGGGUCAUAAGAAUCUCCCAGGGAGCAUGUUAAACGCAGAUACCCCUGGAGAGUGAGAUUAUGUGGGUCGGGGGUGGCAGACAUCAUCGGUGCUGUUAACAAGCUCCUACCCCAGGGAGUGGUGUUACAGGUGGGCCCACAGGCCACAGUGUGAGAAGCCCAGCGGCCUGUGCCUUGGCACAAGCGGGGUGGAACCGUGGUGGGCCUACCGUAAGGAGUUUGUGCGCUAAGGUGUAAAUGAGGCAGAGACAGCUCCCCAGAUGCCUUUACCAUGAAAAGCCUCCAGAAAGCCUCAUGAUGUUGGAGCAGGUGGCCAUGACCACACCAGAGGACAAAACCAGAUAAUUCAGUCACGGCCCUCUGGAUGCAGACCGAGUUCUUUUCCCAGCUGCCCAGCCGCCUGGGCCCUCAAUAACCCACCGCCCCUCCCUCGGUUAAACCACAGGCACCCAAAGCAGCCAGAUGUAGUGAGAUUCCCAGGUGUGUCUUUCAACCAGGAUGGGUCCACAGAGCCCCCUGGCGUGUGGACCACACGUUCUCCUUCCUCUCUUGGCUCUUCAUAUAGAGGUGCAAGUGGCCUUUUCUCAAUCCUCCCACUUUGUUUGGGGGCCCUUGCUCCCUGGGGGAGGCACUCGUGUCCUUGGUCAAAGCCAGCCUUGGGGAAUAGAGGCGUGGUGCAACCCCUGGCUGACGGUCUUUGCAGUACUUUAGGCCCAGGCUUGGUUACCGGCAAGCUUAUGGUGCCCCGCCCCGCCCCUACUCGGGUCUACACUGGGGGCCACUGCGCGCUGGCCCUUUGGACCCUUCCUGAUACCCCAUGUCUGGACGGAAGAGGUAUGCACAGAGGGGCAUCAGAGAUCUAGAAGAAGGACCAGGGAGGCUUAUCUAGCCACGAAGUAACUGCCAAUGUCUGAGGAUGCACUGGAGGAGGAGAGCAGUCCUGGACCCCCUGGGCCACCGCUCAGACCUCAGAGGGGACAGGCUGAGCCAGAUGAAGGCCUUUGGGGACUGUGGGCACUACAAAAGGAUUACCAUCGCCAACUCCCUGCCCUCAUCCCGAGCUUUGACUUCCUCCUGCUCCACUGAAGUAACACUUUUCUAGAUAUUUCUCGUCGCAAAAUUCUGGAUGAGUCCGUCGAAGCUGACUUUUUUUCUAUAACAACAAGGCCUCGCUUCUUGUCGCCAGCUUAGCUGGUGCCCAGACAAAGGGGCGGGCAGCAGUGUGUGUCAGCAUUUUGCUGGGUUUACUGGCAUCCUCCUAGGCUGGGACAUCUCUCCAGGAGGGGACCUCUGUACUGCCGGUUCCUGGAGCAGGCACAAAGUAGGUGGUCACUAAAAGGAAAAGAUGGCAGGAAAAGGAAACGGAAGGCGGAAGGAGGGGACUGGGGAUUUCACGGCCUUUAUUGACUGGAGGGUUCAUGGCAUUCUCCUGCCGGUGAGUCCUCGACUGUGGAGUUUUACAAAGCCGUAACAGUUCGAAUAAAAGUCUGGGAAAGCAA
This is a long non-coding RNA of Leopardus geoffroyi (Geoffroy's cat), 3189 nucleotides long. RefSeq lists it as uncharacterized. Lineage: Eukaryota; Metazoa; Chordata; Mammalia; Carnivora; Felidae. The record is from RefSeq and is a predicted model, not a curated record. The transcript is spliced from 3 exons.